AAAAAAACUGUCUCAAUUUAAUUUUAAUUAGAAUUUUAUUUUUAAGUUAAAAAGCUUAAAUAUUUUUAAAAGACGAGAAGACCCUAUAGAGUUUUAUAAAAUUUUUAUUUUUAAUAAUUUUAGUAUUACAUCAAUUAAUUGUAAAAAUUUUAUUUGAUUGGGGUGAUUGAAAAAUUUAAUAAACUUUUUUUGUUAUUAAACAUUGAUUUAUGAAUAAUUGAUCC
RNAcentral lists this ribosomal RNA (224 nucleotides) under Neosisyphus quadricollis. RNAcentral describes it as "partial 16S ribosomal RNA". The record is from RNAcentral. Lineage: Eukaryota; Metazoa; Arthropoda; Insecta; Coleoptera; Scarabaeidae.